RNAcentral lists this ribosomal RNA (264 nucleotides) under uncultured eukaryote. RNAcentral describes it as "partial 18S ribosomal RNA". It matches the Rfam family "Eukaryotic small subunit ribosomal RNA", at positions 1187 to 1472 of the family's 1831-position model. The record is from RNAcentral.
GGCUUAAUUUGACUCAACGCGGGAAACCUUACUAUAAUAAGACAUUAGAAUGAUUGACAGACUAUUUGGUUUUUCUUGAUUGAAUGGGUGGUGGUGCAUGGCCGAUCUUAGUUGGUGGGGUGACCCGUCUGGUUAAUUUCGAUAACGAACGAGAUCCGAGUUGUCUAAUUGGUUGUUUAAUUAUUAUUAUUAGAUAGACCUCCUAGAUGGACUAUUAGCAUGAAGUUAAAGGAAGUUUCGGGCUAAAUCAGGUCUGUGAUGCCC